This 407-nucleotide ribosomal RNA is filed under the name Verrucomicrobiota bacterium. RNAcentral describes it as "Verrucomicrobia bacterium partial 16S ribosomal RNA". It matches the Rfam family "Bacterial small subunit ribosomal RNA", at positions 355 to 776 of the family's 1533-position model. Lineage: Bacteria; Pseudomonadati; Verrucomicrobiota. The record is from RNAcentral.
UGGGGAAUAUUGGACAAUGGAGGGAACUCUGAUCCAGCAAUUCUGUGUGUGUGAAGAAGGUUUUAGGACUGUAAAACACUUUUAGUAGGGAAGAAAAAAAUGACGGUACCUACAGAAGAAGCAACGGCUAAAUACGUGCCAGCAGCCGCGGUAAUACGUAUGUUGCGAGCGUUAUCCGGAAUUAUUGGGCUUAAAGGGCAUCUAGGCGGUAAGACAAGUUGAAGGUGAAAACCUGUGGCUCAACCAUAGGCUUGCCUACAAAACUGUUGAACUAGAGUACUGGAAAGGUGGGUGGAACUACACGAGUAGAGGUGAAAUUCGUAGAUAUGCGUAGGAAUGCCGAUGAUGAAGAUAACUCACUGGACAGAAACUGACGCUGAAGUGCGAAAGCUAGGGGAGCAAACAGG